UACGAAGGGGGCUAGCGUUGUUCGGAAUUACUGGGCGUAAAGCGCGCGCAGGCGGUCUUCCAAGUCAGUGGUGAAAGCCCGGAGCUCAACUCCGGAACUGCCAUUGAAACUGUAAGACUUGAGGAUGAGAGAGGUGAGUGGAAUUCCCAGUGUAGAGGUGAAAUUCGUAGAUAUUGGGAAGAACACCGGUGGCGAAGGCGGCGACCUGGUCCUUGACUGACGCUGAGACGCGAAAGCGUGGGGAGCAAACAGG
This 253-nucleotide ribosomal RNA is filed under the name uncultured bacterium. RNAcentral's name for it is "partial 16S ribosomal RNA". It matches the Rfam family "Bacterial small subunit ribosomal RNA", at positions 524 to 776 of the family's 1533-position model. The record is from RNAcentral.